RNAcentral lists this ribosomal RNA (447 nucleotides) under uncultured bacterium. Its description in RNAcentral is "bacterial SSU rRNA". It matches the Rfam family "Bacterial small subunit ribosomal RNA", at positions 355 to 825 of the family's 1533-position model. The record is from RNAcentral.
UGGGGAAUAUUGCGCAAUGGGCGAAAGCCUGACGCAGCAACGCCGCGUGAAGGAUGAAGUAUUUCGGUAUGUAAACUUCGAAAGAAUAGGAAGAAUAAAUGACGGUACUAUUUAUAAGGUCCGGCUAACUACGUGCCAGCAGCCGCGGUAAUACGUAGGGACCAAGCGUUGUUCGGAUUUACUGGGCGUAAAGGGCGCGUAGGCGGCAUGACAAGUCACUUGUGAAAUCUCCGGGCUUAACUCGGAACUGCCAAGUGAUACUGAUGUGCUAGAGUGCAGAAAGGGCAACUGGAAUUCUUGGUGUAGCGGUGAAAUGCGUAGAUAUCAAGAGGAACACCUGAGGCGAAGGCGAGUUGCUAGGCUGACACUGACGCUGAGGUACGAAAGCUAGGGGAGCGAACGGGAUUAGAUACCCACGUAGUCCCUGAGCGGGCUGGCAAGGCGCAU